AACGCUGGCGGCGUGCCCAACACAUGCAAGUCGAGCGGCAGCGAGUUUUUACACUGAAUUUCUGGAAGCUUCUAGUUGAAAGAGAAAGAAUUUAUUCAAGAAUUUUGUGUAAAAUGUCGGCGAGCGGCGGACGGCUGAGUAACGCGUGGGAACGUACCCCAAAGUGAGGGAUAACGCAUCGAAAGGUGUGCUAAUACCGCAUAUGGUCUUCGGAUUAAAGCCUUCGGGCGCUUUGGGAACGGCCUGCGUAAGAUUAGAUAGUUGGUGGGGUAAUGGCCUACCAAGUCGACGAUCUUUAACUGGUUUGAGAGGAUGAUCAGUCAGACUGGAACUGAGACACGGUCCAGACUCCUACGGGAGGCAGCAGUGAGGAAUCUUCCACAAUGGGCGAAAGCCUGAUGGAGCAACGCCGCGUGCAGGAUGAAGGCCUUCGGGUUGUAAACUGCUUUUAUAAGUGAUGAUUAUGACAGUAACUUAUGAAUAAGGAUCGGCUAACUACGUGCCAGCAGCCGCGGUCAUACGUAGGAUCCGAGCGUUAUCCGGAGUGACUGGGCGUAAAGAGUUGCGUAGGUGGUUUAAUAAGCGAAUAGUGAAAUCUGGUGGCUCAACCAUUCAGACUAUUAUUCGAACUGUUGAACUCGAGAGCAGAAGAGGUAGCUGGAAUUUCUAGUGUAGGAGUGAAAUCCGUAGAUAUUAGAAGGAACACCGAUGGCGUAGGCAGGCUACUGGGCUGUUUCUGACACUGAGGCACGAAAGCGUGGGGAGCGAACCGGAUUAGAUACCCGGGUAGUUCACGCCGUAAACGAUGGAUACUAGCUGUUUGGGGUAUCGACCCCCUGAGUAGCGAAGCUAACGCGUUAAGCAUCCCGCCUGUGGAGUACGAUCGCAAGAUUAAAACAUAAAGGAAUUGACGGGGACCCGCACAAGCGGUGGAUCAUGUUCUUUAAUUCGAUGAUAACCGAUAAACCUUACCAGGUCUUGACAUCCUUGGAAUCUUUCAGAAAUGAGAGAGUGCUUUUUAAGAGCCAAGUGACAGGUGAUGCAUGGCCGUCGUCAGCUCGUGUCAUGAGAUGUUUGGUUAAGUCCAUCAACGAGCGCAACCCUUGUCAGUAGUUGUAUUUUUCUACUGAGACUGCCCCGGUAACGGGGAGGAAGGAGGGGAUGACGUCAGGUCAGUAUUUCCCUUACGUCCUGGGCUAGAAACGUGAUACAAUGGCUAGUACAAUGCGCAGCGAAGCCGCGAGGUGAAGCAAAUCGCAUCAAAGCUAGUCCCAGUUCGGAUUGUAGGCUGAAACUCGCCUGCAUGAAGUCGGAAUCGCUAGUAAUCGCAGAUCAGCAUGCUGCGGUGAAUACGUUCCCGGGUCUUGUACACACCGCCCGUC
This 1382-nucleotide ribosomal RNA is filed under the name uncultured bacterium. Its description in RNAcentral is "bacterial SSU rRNA". It matches the Rfam family "Bacterial small subunit ribosomal RNA", at positions 32 to 1398 of the family's 1533-position model. The record is from RNAcentral.